Molecule: ribosomal RNA, 839 nt
Filed under: uncultured Verrucomicrobiota bacterium
Lineage: Bacteria; Pseudomonadati; Verrucomicrobiota
Description: bacterial SSU rRNA
Rfam family: Bacterial small subunit ribosomal RNA
Source: RNAcentral
UUGUAGCAGUACGAUGGAAAGUCUAGUGGCGAACGGGUGCUUAACACGUGGGCAACCUGCCAGGAAGUGGGGGAUAGCUCGCCGAAAGGCGAAUUAAUACCGCAUGUGAUUAGAGAGGACAUCCUUUCGAAAUUAAAGUCGGGGCAACCUGACGCUUCUUGUGGGGCCCGCGGCCUAUCAGCUAGUUGGUGGGGUAACGGCUCACCAAGGCUUUGACGGGUAGCUGGUCUGAGAGGACGACCAGCCACACUGGGACUGAGACACGGCCCAGACACCUACGGGUGGCAGCAGUCGAGAAUUUUUGACAAUGGGGGAAACCCUGAUCGAGCGACGCCGCGUGGAGGAUGAAGGUCUUCGGAUUGUAAACUCCUGUCAUUGGGGAACAAGGUGCAUACGUUAACUGCGUGUGCAUUGAUAGUACCCGAAGAGGAAGAGACGGCUAACUCUGUGCCAGCAGCCGCGGUAAUACAGAGGUCUCAAGCGUUGUUCGGAUUCAUUGGGCGUAAAGGGUGCGUAGGCGGCGCGGUAAGUCGGGUGUGAAAUCUCGGGGCUUAACUCCGAAACUGCAUUCGAUACUGCCGUGCUUGAGGACUGGAGAGGAGACUGGAAUUUACGGUGUAGCGGUGAAAUGCGUAGAUAUCGUAAGGAAGACCAGUGGCGAAGGCGGGUCUCUGGACAGUUCCUGACGCUGAGGCACGAAGGUCAGGGGAGCAAACGGGAUUAGAUACCCCGGUAGUCCUGACAGUAAACGGUGCACGUUUGGUGUGGGAGGAUUCGACCCCUUCUGCGCCGGAGCUAACGCGUUAAACGUGCCGCCUGGGGAGUACGGUCGCAAGAUU